Molecule: ribosomal RNA, 253 nt
Filed under: uncultured bacterium
Lineage: Bacteria
Description: partial 16S ribosomal RNA
Rfam family: Bacterial small subunit ribosomal RNA
Source: RNAcentral
UACGGAGGAUGCAAGCGUUAUCCGGAAUGAUUGGGCGUAAAGCGUCCGCAGGUGGCUAUGUAAGUCUGCUGUUAAAGAGUGAGGCUCAACCUCAUAAGAGCAGUGGAAACUACAUGGCUAGAGUGCGUUCGGGGCAGAGGGAAUUCCUGGUGUAGCGGUGAAAUGCGUAGAGAUCAGGAAGAACACCGGUGGCGAAAGCGCUCUGCUAGGCCGCAACUGACACUGAGGGACGAAAGCGAGGGGAGCGAAUGGG